UUCAAUCCACACAAGAGAACCAACAACAUUUCGGAAAGGGAAAUUGAAACAAGAGAGAAGGAUUUGCGGAUUAAAAAUAAAAGAGAAAGAGAGAAGGAAAAAAGAGGAAGGAGUGAGCAGUGAAAGAGAAUGUAGAUGAAGAUGCAAUGCAUGUGACUCCAUGAGAAGGACCUGAGUUAAGCUUUCUGUAGUGCCAAAC
This 199-nucleotide long non-coding RNA is filed under the name Glycine max (soybean). RNAcentral describes it as "long non-coding RNA (GMAX_LNC000961)". The record is from RNAcentral. Lineage: Eukaryota; Viridiplantae; Streptophyta; Magnoliopsida; Fabales; Fabaceae.